RNAcentral lists this ribosomal RNA (498 nucleotides) under uncultured bacterium. RNAcentral describes it as "partial 16S ribosomal RNA". It matches the Rfam family "Bacterial small subunit ribosomal RNA", at positions 29 to 507 of the family's 1533-position model. The record is from RNAcentral.
AGCGAACGCUCGCGGCGUGCCUAACACAUGCAAGUCGAACGUGAAAAGGGAAACCUGAGUAAAGUGGCGUACGGGUGAGUAACGCGUAGGUAAUCUACCCCAGAAUCUGGAAUAACCUGCCGAAAGGCGGGCUAAUACUGGAUAGAGCGAGGGAACUCGUAAGAGAGUUUUUCGGGAAAGGGAGCCCGCAAGGGCCUUCGUUCUGGGAUGAGCCUGCGUCUCAUUAGCUAGUUGGUAAGGUAACGGCUUACCAAGGCGAUGAUGAGUAGCUGGUCUGAGAGGAUGAUCAGCCACACUGGAACUGAAACACGGUCCAGACUCCUACGGGAGGCAGCAGUGGGGAAUCUUGCGCAAUGGACGAAAGUCUGACGCAGCCACGCCGCGUGAGUGAAGAAGGCCUUCGGGUUGUAAAGCUCUGUCGGAUGGGACGAACAUCUUCAUAGUGAAUAGCUAUGAGGACUGACGGUACCAUCGAAGGAAGCACCGGCUAACUCCGUG